ACAGGUGGGACAGGGACGGGUGUGACACUGUCAGGGACACCUGGGACACACCCAGGGACAGGUGGCACACUGUCAGGGACACACCCAAGGACAGGUGGGACACACCUGGGGACAGAUGGGACACGGACGGUUGUGACACUGUCAGGGACACCUAUGACACACCCAAGGACAGGUGGGACACAGGGACAUGGACAGAUGUGACACUCCUGGGGACAGGUGUGACACUGUCAGGGACACCUGGGACACACUCAGGGACAGGUGGGACACAGGGACAUGUGGGACACACCUGGGGACAGAUGGGACACACCCGGGGACAGGUGGGACAUGGGCGGGUGUGACACUGUCAGGGACAGGUGGGACACACUUGGGGACACCUGGGGAGAGGUGGGACACAGGGACACAGACAGGUGUGACACACUUGGGGACAGAUGUGACACUGUCAGGGACACCUGGGACACACCCGGGGACAGGUGGGACAGGUGUGAAACUUGGGGACGAGUGGGACAGGGCCAUGGAAGGUGUGACACUGUCAGGGACACCUGUGACACACUUGGGGACAGGUGGGACACACCUGGGCAGGUGGGACAGGGACAGGUGUGACACUUGGAGACACAGGUGA
This 619-nucleotide long non-coding RNA is filed under the name Zonotrichia albicollis (white-throated sparrow). RNAcentral describes it as "lncRNA (ENSZALG00000003153.1)". Lineage: Eukaryota; Metazoa; Chordata; Aves; Passeriformes; Passerellidae. The record is from RNAcentral.